CCUACGUGAGGCUGCAGUGAGGAAUAUUGGUCAAUGGCCGGAAGCCUGAACCAGCCAUGCCGCGUGAAGGUCAGUGCCCUAUGGGUUGUAAACUUCUUUUGUGCGGGAGCAGUAAUGGUCACUUGUUGCCAGACGAGAGUACGGUACGAAUAAGCCUCCGCUAACUCCGUUCCGGCAGCCGCGGUAAUACUGGGGAUGCAAGCGUUGUCCGGGUUUAUUGGGUUGAAAGAGUGGGUAGGCUGGGAGGUAAGUCGGCGGUGAAAUGCCCGCGCUCAACGGGCAGAAGUGCCAUUGAUACUGCCGUGCUGGAAUGCGGAUGACGUGGGAGGAAUGUGUGGUGUAGCGGUGAAAUGCAUAGAUAUUA
RNAcentral lists this ribosomal RNA (364 nucleotides) under uncultured bacterium. RNAcentral's name for it is "partial 16S ribosomal RNA". It matches the Rfam family "Bacterial small subunit ribosomal RNA", at positions 338 to 699 of the family's 1533-position model. The record is from RNAcentral.